RNAcentral lists this ribosomal RNA (451 nucleotides) under uncultured bacterium. RNAcentral describes it as "partial 16S ribosomal RNA". It matches the Rfam family "Bacterial small subunit ribosomal RNA", at positions 28 to 507 of the family's 1533-position model. The record is from RNAcentral.
AGCGAACGCUGGCGGCAUGCCUAACACGUGCAAGUCGCACGGGGGGGCUCCGGCCUCCCAGUGGCGGACGGGUGAGGAACGCGUAGGGACCUGUCGAGGGGUGGGGGAUAACCGCGGGAAACUGCGGCUAAUACCGCAUGACGCCGCGGCGUGACAGCCGGGGCCAAAGGCGAAAGCCGCCCGCCGAGGGGCCUGCGUCCGAUUAGCUGGUUGGCGGGGUAGCGGCCCACCAAGGCGUCGAUCGGUAGCUGGUCUGAGAGGGUGAUCAGCCACACCGGGACUGAGACACGGCCCGGACUCCUACGGGAGGCAGCAGUGGGGAAUAUUGGACAAUGGGCGCAAGCCUGAUCCAGCAAUGCCGCGUGGGUGAAGAAGGUCUUCGGAUUGUAAAGCCCUUUCGGCGGGGACGAUGGUGACGGUACCCGCAGAAGAAGCCCCGGCUAACUUCGUG